RNAcentral lists this ribosomal RNA (583 nucleotides) under Asterocarpa humilis. RNAcentral's name for it is "SSU rRNA". It matches the Rfam family "Eukaryotic small subunit ribosomal RNA", at positions 614 to 1200 of the family's 1831-position model. Lineage: Eukaryota; Metazoa; Chordata; Ascidiacea; Stolidobranchia; Styelidae. The record is from RNAcentral.
UGCGGUUGAAAAGCUCGUAGUUGGAUUUUGGGCGGGCGCGGCCGGUCCGUCGCAGGGCGUGUUACUGGCCGCGUCUGCCUCACCUUCGGUUCUCUGUCGGUGCUCUUGACUGAGUGUCGGCGGUGUCCGAUAAGUUUACUUUGAAAAAAUUAGAGUGUUCAAAGCAGGCUGCUCGCCUGAAUAGUGUUGCAUGGAAUAAUGGAAUAGGACCUCGGUUCUAUUUUGCUGGUUUUCGGAGCACGAGGUAAUGAUUAAGAGGGACAGACGGGGGCGUCCGUACUCUGCCGUUAGAGGUGAAAUUCUUGGAUCGGCGGAAGACGAACUACUGCGAAAGCAUUCGCCAAGAAUGUUUUCUUUAAUCAAGAGCGAAAGUCAGAGGUUCGAAGACGAUCAGAUACCGUCCUAGUUCUGACUAUAAACGAUGCCAACUAGCGAUCGGGAGGCGUUACCAUGACGACCUUCCCGGCAGCUUCCGGGAAACCAAAGUCUUUGGGUUCCGGGGGAAGUAUGGUUGCAAAGCUGAAACUUAAAGGAAUUGACGGAAGGGCACCACCAGGAGUGGAGCCUGCGGCUUAAUUUGACU